UAUGGUCGACCUGCAGGCGGCCGCGAAUUCACUAGUGAUUCGUAUUACCGCGGCUGCUGGCACAGAGUUAGCCGGUGCUUAUUCUGUCGGUAACGUCAAGACAGCAACGUAUUAGGUUACUGCCCUUCCUCCCAACUUAAAGUGCUUUACAAUCCGAAGACCUUCUUCACACACGCGGCAUGGCUGGAUCAGGCUUUCGCCCAUUGUCCAAUAUUCCCCACUGCCGCCUCCCGUAGGAGUCUGGACCGUGUCUCAGUUCCAGUGUGACUGGUCAUCCUCUCAGACCAGUUACGGAUCGUCGCCUUGGUGAGCCAUUACCUCACCAACUAGCUAAUCCGACCUAGGCUCAUCUGAUAGCGCAAGGCCCGAAGGUCCCCUGCUUUCUCCCGUAGGACGUAUGCGGUAUUAGCGUCCGUUUCCGAGCGUUAUCCCCCACUACCAGGCAGAUUCCUAGGCAUUACUCACCCGUCCGCCGCUCUCAAGAGAAGCAAGCUUCUCUCUACCGCUCGACUUGCAUGUGUUAGGCCUGCCGCCAGCGUUCAAUCUGAGCCAUGAUCAAACUCUAAUCGAAUUCCCGCGGCCGC
This 584-nucleotide ribosomal RNA is filed under the name uncultured Gammaproteobacteria bacterium. RNAcentral's name for it is "partial 16S ribosomal RNA". Lineage: Bacteria; Pseudomonadati; Pseudomonadota; Gammaproteobacteria. The record is from RNAcentral.